AUGACCGUUCAUGAGCAGGCCAACAUUAAACGCGCCGGUCGAGCACCUACCGUUCGCCCUCUAUUUAAACAAGGGCAGACGCUGGGCAAAAACCACACCCUUCCGCUGCUCCCCCAAUCUCCUCCUCCAUCACUCUUUCGAUGGCUUCCUAAGAGAAGUUUUCCAGCAUAUAAGCCGACAGGAUGUCCCGCCGAGCCCACUGGAUACGAGCGAGACAGCUCGAUGCUCAACCUCCGCGCCUCACCCGAAGGAGCAAGUUGCCACCCCCAAGCCGCCACGUGGUUCAACAACUCGCCACUCCAGGGCCACACGAUGAGGAGUGGCCAGUUGCUCCAUGCCAGCACGACGCACGAGCGUCAACGCUGCCGUCGAUGGUUGCGAUCCCUGUGUCUGCGGUCGCGCCCCUCAUGCAUGCGACUAUGCCUCUCGUGCGUGCGACUGCGCCAUGAAGGCAGAUGCAGAAGCCUGGUGUGCGGAAAGUGA
This 483-nucleotide ribosomal RNA is filed under the name Triticum aestivum (bread wheat). RNAcentral describes it as "partial small subunit ribosomal RNA". Lineage: Eukaryota; Viridiplantae; Streptophyta; Magnoliopsida; Poales; Poaceae. The record is from RNAcentral.